RNAcentral lists this ribosomal RNA (497 nucleotides) under uncultured bacterium. RNAcentral describes it as "partial 16S ribosomal RNA". It matches the Rfam family "Bacterial small subunit ribosomal RNA", at positions 28 to 507 of the family's 1533-position model. The record is from RNAcentral.
GAUGAACGCUGGCGGCGUGCCUAAUACAUGCAAGUCGAGCGAACAGACGAGGAGCUUGCUCCUCUGACGUUAGCGGCGGACGGGCGAGUAACACGUGGAUAACCUACCUAUAAGACUGGGAUAACUUCGGGAAACCGGAGCUAAUACCGGAUAAUAUAUUGAACCGCAUGGUUCAAUAGUGAAAGACGGUUUUGCUGUCACUUAUAGAUGGAUCCGCGCCGCAUUAGCUAGUUGGUAAGGUAACGGCUUACCAAGGCAACGAUGCGUAGCCGACCUGAGAGGGGGAUCGGCCACACUGGAACUGAGACACGGUCCAGACUCCUACGGGAGGCAGCAGUAGGGAAUCUUCCGCAAUGGGCGAAAGCCUGACGGAGCAACGCCGCGUGAGUGAUGAAGGUCUUCGGAUCGUAAAACUCUGUUAUUAGGGAAGAACAAAUGUGUAAGUAACUAUGCACGUCUUGACGGUACCUAAUCAGAAAGCCACGGCUAACUACGUG